Molecule: ribosomal RNA, 113 nt
Filed under: Oryctolagus cuniculus (rabbit)
Lineage: Eukaryota; Metazoa; Chordata; Mammalia; Lagomorpha; Leporidae
Source: RNAcentral
CUAUGGCCAUACCACCCUAAACAUGCCAAUCUCGUCUGAUCUUGGAAGCUAAGCAGGGUCGGGCCUGGUUAGUACUUGGAUGGGAGAUUAAAUGGAUGAAGGACUUACAUAGU